Rosa chinensis is the source of this 283-nucleotide long non-coding RNA. RefSeq lists it as uncharacterized. The transcript has 3 exons. Lineage: Eukaryota; Viridiplantae; Streptophyta; Magnoliopsida; Rosales; Rosaceae. The record is from RefSeq and is a predicted model, not a curated record.
CUGAAAAGGAAAAGCAUAGAAAUGAAGAAGAGACAGCUGAUAAUGAAUCAGAAGGUUUCGAAGAUGAACAUGAAGACAUGACAUUAAGAGAUUGGGUGGAUAUCAACAUCAUGAAUUUUGCGAAAAAGAUUGACGAGAAUAAAGGAGAGGAAGGGAUGCAAACAAAAACCACAAGUGGAGUAAAUGUCAAUGAUAUGGAUUUGGGUGCAACUGAGGAAGAAGAGGAUGCUGCGGAUGGUAUUAGAGAAGACUUUAGCUUUGACACUGGAUUGGGGGGGGGGGG